RNAcentral lists this ribosomal RNA (395 nucleotides) under uncultured bacterium. Its description in RNAcentral is "bacterial SSU rRNA". It matches the Rfam family "Bacterial small subunit ribosomal RNA", at positions 505 to 898 of the family's 1533-position model. The record is from RNAcentral.
GUGUCAGCCGCCGCGGUAAUACGUAGGUGGCAAGCGUUGUCCGGAUUUACUGGGCGUAAAGAGCGCGCAGGCGGUCGUUCAAGUCGAGUGUGAAAGCCCCCGGCUCAACUGGGGAGGGUCACUCGAUACUGAUCGACUUGAAGGCGGGAGAGGGAAGCGGAAUUCCCGGUGUAGUGGUGAAAUGCGUAGAUAUCGGGAGGAACACCAGUGGCGAAGGCGGCUUUCUGGCCCGUUCUUGACGCUGAGGCGCGAAAGCUAGGGUAGCAAACGGGAUUAGAUACCCCGGUAGUCCUAGCCGUAAACGAUGGACACUAGGUGUUGGCGGUAUCAACCCCGCCAGUGCCGAAGCUAACGCAUUAAGUGUCCCGCCUGGGGAGUACGGCCGCAAGGCUAAA